CCCGUGAUCCGAACUACAUCAAGUCAUGACAGACAAAGCAACAAUACAUAAUUGGAAAGAGAAAUUGAAAGACAUCGAUCAAUAUAAACGCAAACUUUCAAGAAAAUUGGGCAUAGGAUAACUUAUCGUAGCAAUCAAACCAAUCAAUUACGUUCGUUAGACCUCUUGCUAACCUGUGAGCCACAAUAUUACAAAAUUCAUCAAAGUUGAGAAGAACUAUGAGAAGCAUUGAAAAUCCAGAUUAGUUUGACAAAACACUUCCAAACCAAAUAGGUCAAUGACCCCCUGCUGCAGUCCAUUGUGCAACCCCCAAGUUGAACUACACCUCAAAA
Long non-coding RNA from Ipomoea nil (Japanese morning glory), 332 nucleotides. RefSeq lists it as uncharacterized. NCBI's taxonomy places the organism in Eukaryota, Viridiplantae, Streptophyta, Magnoliopsida, Solanales, Convolvulaceae. The record is from RefSeq and is a predicted model, not a curated record. The transcript has 2 exons.